GGCCGGCGCCGUGGGCGUGUUCCGCCUGGGAGGCCCUGGAGGCCAGCGGGAAGGAUUCUGUGUGCUGAUAAGGCCUGUGGGUGCUUGCUAACGGCCAGUGUCUUUCAAGAAAGCUAAUGGAGAGUAUGUUCCUCCUAAAUGAAUAAACCAACAAAUGGGACAUGUGAUCAAGGAAACGAGAGAGAAAAAGAGUCACAGAUCCAUGAUUGGACUUUGGACUCCUUGACUGAUGGAAAGAAACUGCAUUCUUUUGCGGAAGCUACAUUGGAACCACAGCUGUGUAUCAUGAAUUGUUCCCAAACCGGUCUGCACAUUUGAAUAUCUUAUAGGAUAAUUGAGUUAUAAUCUCUCAGGGUGAGACCUAGGCAUUGGUAUUUUUUUUUUUUUUUAUUUGAAAGAGUUACGGAGAGGUAGAGAGAGACAGAGGUCUUCCAUCCACUGGCCCACUCCCCAGAUGGCUGCAACGGCUGGAGCUGCGCCGAUCUGAAGCUAGGAGCCAGGAGAUUCUUCCAGGUC
This is a long non-coding RNA of Lepus europaeus (European hare), 516 nucleotides long. RefSeq lists it as uncharacterized. The transcript has 3 exons. Lineage: Eukaryota; Metazoa; Chordata; Mammalia; Lagomorpha; Leporidae. The record is from RefSeq and is a predicted model, not a curated record.